GAUGAACGCUGGCGGCGUGCCUAAUACAUGCAAGUCGAGCGAACAGAUAAGGAGCUUGCUCCUUUGACGUUAGCGGCGGACGGGUGAGUAACGCGUGGGUAACCUACCUAUAAGACUGGGAUAACUUCGGGAAACCGGAGCUAAUACCGGAUAACAUUUGGAACCGCAUGGUUCUAAAGUGAAAGAUGGUUUUGCUAUCACUUAUAGAUGGACCCGCGCCGUAUUAGCUAGUUGGUAAGGUAACGGCUUACCAAGGCAACGAUACGUAGCCGACCUGAGAGGGUGAUCGGCCACACUGGAACUGAGACACGGUCCAGACUCCUACGGGAGGCAGCAGUAGGGAAUCUUCCGCAAUGGGCGAAAGCCUGACGGAGCAACGCCGCGUGAGUGAUGAAGGGUUUCGGCUCGUAAAACUCUGUUAUUAGGGAAGAACAAAUGUGUAAGUAACUGUGCACGUCUUGACGGUACCUAAUCAGAAAGCCACGGCUAACUACGUG
Molecule: ribosomal RNA, 497 nt
Filed under: uncultured bacterium
Lineage: Bacteria
Description: partial 16S ribosomal RNA
Rfam family: Bacterial small subunit ribosomal RNA
Source: RNAcentral